GGACUACUGGGGUUUCUAAUCCUGUUUGCUCCCCACGCUUUCGCGUCUCAGCGUCAGUCACCGUCCAGAUGGCCGCCUUCGCCACCGGUGUUCUUCUCGAUAUCUACGAAUUUCACCUCUACACCGAGAGUUCCACCAUCCUCUCCGGGACUCUAGCAUGGCAGUAUCGAAUGCACUUCCUGGGUUGAGCCCAGGGCUUUCACACCCGACUUGCCACGCCGCCUACACGCGCUUUACGCCCAGUAAUUCCGAACAACGUUCGCACCCUCUGUCUUACCGCGGCUGCUGGCAC
RNAcentral lists this ribosomal RNA (292 nucleotides) under uncultured bacterium. Its description in RNAcentral is "partial 16S ribosomal RNA". The record is from RNAcentral.